This 434-nucleotide unclassified non-coding RNA is filed under the name fungal sp. RNAcentral's name for it is "partial internal transcribed spacer region". The stretch from base 1 to 46 matches the Rfam family "Eukaryotic small subunit ribosomal RNA", at positions 1786 to 1831 of the family's 1831-position model. The record is from RNAcentral. Lineage: Eukaryota; Fungi.
AAGUCGUAACAAGGUUUCCGUAGGUGAACCUGCGGAAGGAUCAUUAACACGUAUCCAAACGUUAAACCCCCCUGUGAACCUUCAGUCGUACUCGUACGUCCGUUAGAAAACACAUGUUAGUGACACUUUCAGACACUAACGUUAGUGACACUUUCAGACACUAACUGCUUGGGGAUGCCAGGCCACUUACACGCACAACAUGCACGCUCCUUGCAGACGUCCCUGAAUCGAAAACUGUUCGGCGAUGAUUUACCAGGGAUUGCUGCUUAAGGAUGACGCAGUCACGAUCGUUGGAGGCCCACACGGCCGACGACCGGGUCACUGGGUGCAAGCCCCCUUAUCACACCCCUGCUCUAUCUAUGGUGAUCCUGCGGGAAGUCCUGCGGUCGAACGCCGAAACCGAACAACUGUUAACAACGGAUCUCUUGGUUCUG